Molecule: ribosomal RNA, 424 nt
Filed under: uncultured prokaryote
Description: bacterial SSU rRNA
Rfam family: Bacterial small subunit ribosomal RNA
Source: RNAcentral
UGGGGAAUUUUCCGCAAUGGGGGAAACCCUGAUCUAGCCAUGCCGCGUGAACGAUGAAGGCCCUAGGGUUGUAAAGUUCUUUCAGCGGGGAAGAUAAUGACGGUACCCGCAGAAGAAGCCCCGGCUAACUCCGUGCCAGCAGCCGCGGUAAUACGGAGGGGGCUAGCGUUGUUCGGAAUUACUGGGCGUAAAGCGCACGUAGGCGGAUCAGUCAGUCAGGGGUGAAAUCCCGGGGCUCAACCCCGGAACUGCCUUUGAUACUGCUGGUCUGGAGUCCGAGAGAGGUGAGUGGAAUUCCGAGUGUAGAGGUGAAAUUCGUAGAUAUUCGGAGGAACACCAGUGGCGAAGGCGGCUCACUGGCUCGGAACUGACGCUCAGGUGCGAAAGCGUGGGGAGCAAACAGGAUUAGAUACCCGGGUAGUCC